ACAGAUUUACUAAAGUUCAUACUUAUGUACCAACAAACAACGCCGUCGUUGGAGUCAUAUAUACUUUAAUUGCAAGUUUUACUCGUUUAGGUUGCCACGUUAUUUAUGGCAUGAAACAAAAUAUGUCAAUUUAGUUACCGUUUUGUUCAACAAAUUAAUCUCUGAAAAAAAAAAAACAAAAUCCUUUCACGAAUACGCAAUUUAUAGGAUUUAUAGUUAUGUACACAUGUGCAUGUGAAAAUUA
Molecule: long non-coding RNA, 244 nt
Filed under: Prunus persica (peach)
Lineage: Eukaryota; Viridiplantae; Streptophyta; Magnoliopsida; Rosales; Rosaceae
Description: long non-coding RNA (PPER_LNC006778)
Source: RNAcentral